Molecule: ribosomal RNA, 446 nt
Filed under: uncultured bacterium
Lineage: Bacteria
Description: partial 16S ribosomal RNA
Rfam family: Bacterial small subunit ribosomal RNA
Source: RNAcentral
GCCAGACUCCUACGGGAGGCAGCAGUGGGGAAUAUUGCACAAUGGGGGGAACCCCGAUGCAGCGACGCCGCGUGGGUGAAGGAGCGUUUCGGCGCGUAAAGCCCUAUCGGCAGGGAAGAAGGAGGACGGUACCUGACUAAGAAGCCCCGGCUAACUACGUGCCAGCAGCCGCGGUAAUACGUAGGGGGCAAGCGUUAUCCGGAUUUACUGGGUGUAAAGGGGGCGCAGACGGCAGCGCAAGCCAGGAGUGAAAGCCCGGGGCCCAACCCCGGGACUGCUCUUGGAACUGCGCGGCUGGAGUGCAGGAGGGGCAGGCGGAAUUCCUGGUGUAGCGGUGAAAUGCGUAGAUAUCAGGAGGAACACCGGUGGCGAAGGCGGCCUGCUGGACUGCGACUGACGUUGAGGCCCGAAAGCGUGGGGAGCAAACAGGAUUAGAUACCCCUGUA